CCUACGGGAGGCAGCAGUGAGGAAUAUUGCACAAUGGGCGAAAGCCUGAUGCAGCAACGCCGCGUGAGCGAUGAAGGCCUUCUGGUCGUAAAGCUCUGUCCUCAGGGAAGAUAAUGACGGUACGUGAGGAGGAAGCCCCGGCUAACGACGUGCCAGCCGCCGCGGUACUACGUCGGGGGCUAGCGUUAUCCGGAAUUACUGGGCGUAAAGGGUGCGUAGGGGGUUUCUUAAGUCAGAGGUAAAAGGCUACAGCUCAACCGGAGUAAGCCUUUGAAACUGGGAACCUUGAGUGCAGGAGAGGAGAGUGGAAUUCCUAGUGUAGCGGUGAAAUGCGUAGAUAUUAGGAGGAACACCAGUUGCGAAGGCGGCUCUCUGGACUGUAACUGACACUGAGGCACGAAAGCGUGGGGAGCAAACAGGAUUAGAUACCCCAGUAGUC
This 439-nucleotide ribosomal RNA is filed under the name uncultured bacterium. Its description in RNAcentral is "partial 16S ribosomal RNA". It matches the Rfam family "Bacterial small subunit ribosomal RNA", at positions 338 to 795 of the family's 1533-position model. The record is from RNAcentral.